CUCCGCGCCGUCGUCCUUCUCGCUCUGGGAUGGCCGAGGCGCCCGCUCCCCCUGAACUCGCCGGAGCAGGGAUACAGCCGCCCGGGGCCUCUUGCUCGUGCUUGGUUUUCCGUACCCCACUUCCUUAAGGGUCUUUAGGGGUUCCCGGACUCCUUCGCCUGGGAGCCUCCAUCCGCCCCGCACAGCCCCCGGCAGGGCCGAGGGGAGGCUUCAGUGGCUACCUGGUGGGGCCUAGCGGCCCUGCUCGCUGACGUCAGCGCCGGCGCCGUCAUUUAACAGCUUUUGCUUAGGGCAGAAGAAGCUAUGGGCACAAAAAGCAGCAUCGAGUAGCGGUGGCGGAAGAACGAGCAGGAGCUUGAAUUUCAGUUUUCUUAUGAGGAAUUUUCCAGAAAAGAUAUCUUCACUGUGAAAUAAGUAAAUAAAUGCCUACUCAGUACAACAAAAAUACCUGCUACAUACUUCCUUCUGUAUGAAUACAUGAGACCUACCUUCAUUCAUAAAGACCUACCUCUAUGAAGCUUUCCCUGAGCUCCAAACACAGAGCUGAGACUUCCACCUAACUUAGAAAGCUAGUACAAGCCGGCACUGACAGAUGGAAGACUUGAGAUGUUACAAGAUGAUAUAUGGAAACUCUAAAGGAGUGGAGUUGCUGGGUCACAUGGCAAUUCACUUGAGGAACUGAGAAGCUUAUUCUACAGAGGCUGAACUGUUUUAUAUUCCCACCAGCAAUUAUAAGGUUCCAAUUUCUCUACAUUGUCACCAACACUUGCUAUUUUCCAUUUCCUUAAUGAUAGCCAUCCUAGUGGAUUUGAAGUGGUACCUUAUCAUGGUUUUGAUUGCAUUCUCUAUUGACUAAUGAUAUUGAGCAUCUUUUCAUGUAUUUUUUGGUCAUUUGGUCAUUUUUCUUUUUUAAUUUUAAAAUUUUGAGACAGGCUCUCACUAUAUUGCCCAGGCUGGUCUCAAACUCCUGGGUUCCAGCGAUCCUCAUGCCUUGGUCUCCCAAAGGGGUGGGACUACAGGUGUGAGCCACUGUGCCCAGCCCAUUUGUAUAUCUCCUUUGGAGAAUAUCUAGGUUCUUUUGAAGGUAGCUGCAUAGAAACUAGCCUAAUUAACAGACUGUGAUUUUUAGACUGCUUUCCGUAUCUACAAGAACUAUUUAGUUCUCAAAACUGGGAAGAAAUGUUUCAGAGGCAUCAUUAAUUCAUAAUCUAAAAAUUUAUUUCAGGUUUCCUUUUUUUCCCCCAGAUUCUGUAUCCUCCAUAGUUCUAUUCAUGACAUGGGUCAUUCAUCUCUGUAUUCUAAACCCUCAACAAACUGCAGACACUAAUAUUUAUUGGAUGAA
Rhinopithecus roxellana (golden snub-nosed monkey) is the source of this 1342-nucleotide long non-coding RNA. RefSeq lists it as uncharacterized. The transcript is spliced from 3 exons. NCBI's taxonomy places the organism in Eukaryota, Metazoa, Chordata, Mammalia, Primates, Cercopithecidae. The record is from RefSeq and is a predicted model, not a curated record.